RNAcentral lists this ribosomal RNA (401 nucleotides) under Petasospora fabianii. Its description in RNAcentral is "eukaryotic LSU rRNA". It matches the Rfam family "Eukaryotic large subunit ribosomal RNA", at positions 80 to 483 of the family's 3401-position model. Lineage: Eukaryota; Fungi; Ascomycota; Saccharomycetes; Phaffomycetales; Wickerhamomycetaceae. The record is from RNAcentral.
UCAGUACGGCGAGUGAGCGGCAAAGCUCAAUUUGAAAUCUAGUACCUUCGGUGCUCGAGUUGUAAUUUGAAGGUAGUUUUCUGGUGCUGGCCCUUGUCUAUGUUCCUUGGAACAGGACGUCAUAGAGGGUGAGAAUCCCGUCUGAUGGGGUGUCCAGUGCUUUGUAGAUUUCUACCGAAGAGUCGAGUUGUUUGGGAAUGCAGCUCUAAGUGGGUGGUAAAUUCCAUCUAAAGCUAAAUACUGGCGAGAGACCGAUAGCGAACAAGUACAGUGAUGGAAAGAUGAAAAGAACUUUGAAAAGAGAGUGAAAAAGUACGUGAAAUUGUUGAAAGGGAAGGGUAUUGGAUCAGACUUGGUGUCUUGUGAUUAUCUUCCCUUCUUGGGUUGUGCACUCGCAUUUC